ACAAAGCAUUGCGAUGGUCCC
This 21-nucleotide small nuclear RNA is filed under the name Arabidopsis thaliana (thale cress). Its description in RNAcentral is "snRNA_00405". The record is from RNAcentral. Lineage: Eukaryota; Viridiplantae; Streptophyta; Magnoliopsida; Brassicales; Brassicaceae.